This is a non-coding RNA of Seriola dumerili (greater amberjack), 398 nucleotides long. Lineage: Eukaryota; Metazoa; Chordata; Actinopteri; Carangiformes; Carangidae. The record is from the annotation of a RefSeq genome assembly.
CGGAUCUUUAGAACAUGAACAUCCAACAUGUUCUCCUCAGCUUGUUACCAGUUCUGCUCUGGAACAAAGGUUUUAUUGAUGGGAGUGAUGUCAACCAGACCCCCAUACUGUGGAAAAACAAGGGUGACAAUGCAACAAUACACUGCAACCACACAAAGGGUUUUGACUACUUCCAGAUGUACUGGUACAGACAGCUACCUGGAGAAAAUAUCAAACUAAUUGUGUUCACAACAACAUCUAAAAACGACUUUGGAGAUUUCGACAAAAAGAAAUUCUCAGCCACCAGACCUGGUGCUGAGAGCGGGACAUUCACAGUGGGGAAUCUGGAGCCUGGAGAUCAAGGCUUGUAUUUCUGCGCUGUGAGUCAACACAGUGAUACAGACACAUGUGGAAGCUGA